This 3171-nucleotide long non-coding RNA is filed under the name Homo sapiens (human). Its description in RNAcentral is "non-protein coding MBNL1-AS1:5". The record is from RNAcentral. Lineage: Eukaryota; Metazoa; Chordata; Mammalia; Primates; Hominidae.
AGAUGAAAACCGGGCGGGAUGGCAGCCCCGGGGCCAGGGAUGCGGGAGCCGCCGGGAAGACCCGCGCGCCGCUCGACUCAGAGGGACUCACACCUUCCCCCGACAAAGGUCAUUAAGUUGUGAGUACACUUGCACGCACCUGUUUCUCUUCUCGCCCCCCUGUUUCUCCCUGGGUCCCGCUGGGCUGCCAAGCCGUGCGCGGGCUGUGCCGUGACAGCGUCCGCAGAGCCCGCGGCAGGGAAGGGCGCAGGAGCGGCUGCGGCUCACCCUCCCGCCUUCCCCCGGGCAGGAGGUGCUGAGGGACGCGAAACCAACUACCGCGAGCGGCCCGCCCCUGCCCGGGAGAACCGCGGCCGGCGAGCACCUCCUCGCACUUCCUCCUUCAGCCACGGGCAGACCCGCCGGAGUCCGAACAAUGAAGCGGCGCGGGGAAACUGUGAAAAUGGAAACUUACCUCUCACAUUUUUUUUUCAGAGGCGGCCCCACUGUCGACCAAGUGCCCAAGGCAUUGUGGGAGUCAUGAUUCCAAGAUGCCCGCGACGGAAAAUGGAACUUGUCAGCUCCUUGUCAUGGGAGCAUUGUGGGCGCCACAACUCAUUCAGCUGCAGUGAAAAGACUGUUGCAUGUCGCUGUGCAGCCUCUUAUCGCCGAGGUCUGGCUUCCGCUGCUGCUGCGCGGCCCCUCCCCCGCCCGCCCAGCCCCACCAGGAAGCCCAGGGCGGACUCGUCGAGCUCCUAAUGCACGCGGCGGCGAGAAAAACGCUCUUCAACUUUCCGCCGGCGCCCUCCCGCGCUUCCCCGGGCCACAGGGUCGCCUGUCAACCGGACAGAGCCCGCAAGAGCGGGUCAUGGGCGGUCGCCCAGCGGCGCCGAGAGCAGGAGGAAGCCGGAGCCCGCGCGGGCGCCGUGGAUCCCCUCGGCCUCCCGUUGGUAUCUUCCAUCUCAUGCGUUCAGCAUUGUAACCUCGCGGCGGGCGUGCAGACCGGACGCCCUCCCGCUUCUUCUACCGACUGCUAGGCACACCAGUGGGUUCAUUUUGAAAGAGGCCCUUGCACCGGGCUUUGCAAGGAAGCCGGCAAGGUUAGAUUGAAGGUUAGAAGCCAAUUAGACUAGAAUCCUGCGAUCUGGUGAGACUGCCGCCUUAAAAUGCACCAAACAGUUUUUGAACCUGGAGGGCUAACAGGCGGGAAAAACAUCUGCAAGACUGCCACCGUGUAUUUUUCUCAAGUAACAGGCUAUCCACAGUUUUGGAAUUCCUUAGUGAAACUGUCACACAGGCACAAACACAUGUCAGCUUUCCUUCUAGUUUGUAAAUAAUAUUUGUAAUUUACAGGCCACUGUAUUCCCAACUUUGCACCAUGUGAUUUAGAGAAAGCAAAGCUCCCUCUUUAAAAAUAAUAUGUUACUUCUGAAAUACCGGGAUAUUCCACGGCAAGUAAGCCAUAUUGUCGCCAGAGCAAAUAAACCGCAGCCCCAUAUCAUAAUUCACUGGGUGCUAUAAGAUGUAACUUGGCUUUGCUUUGAAUGGAAAGAAUCCUGAACGUCUGUGAUGUGAUGAAGUUUUGGAGACUGGGGGCAGGAUUUCCUUUGAAUGUAAGGAAUUCGGAUAACUUGUUCAAGGAUGAUUCUAGUGAAAAACGUUUGUCCCAUGUUUGUUGGGACAAAAAUGCUGGAUAUGGUACAACAUUCUUCCUGCAGGUUCGGUUUUGUUGAAGAGAGUGAGGCCAGCUCGAGGUGAAGGAAAAACAUCAGAAAGGUGCUAAAGUGCAGAAAUAUCUUCCAGAGGCACUAAUAGCCGACUUUAGUUCUUGACCUUUAGCUAGAUCCACAAAGCACUGAGUUAAAAUUGUACACUGAUCCCUUCCAGAACAAAUUAAUUAAUUAAAUGGUGCCUCUUCCCAGCGUUAAUCGUUUAAAAGGACUCAAGUACCCACACAGUUUAAGCAAACUAAAAGAACACUGACACUUUCUCAGAGAACAGGGAUGGGAACUUUCUAUCUGCCCAUUAGUAUCUACCCCAAGCUACGAAGACUUCCAUUCCUCUUAUUAAGCAUUCAGCAACUACAUUUAGUGCCUACUAUGCCAGUGAUGCAAGAAUGGAUAAGACAGUCCCUACACUCAAGGAUAACGCCUCUAGUAGGUAAUGGAAGCUGGAGAGUUGGCCCUUGACCAAAGCCUUGCAGCUAACAAGAGGACAAGCCUCCUGCCCCACAGUGUUUCACAGCCAGUACCCCAAGCUCCUGAAUUCAUCUGUCUAAUGUGUAAUAUAUUUAUAAACACUCUACCUGGGAUGUAUGCGUACCUUCUACUAUGGACUGUUGUUAAAGACAAGUAAAUAUGCAAUCGUGGUCUUUCAAUAAACUAAACGGAUAUAAAAAUAAAUAUAGAAUACAGCCAGAAGAUCAAAAUUGACAUAUUAUCUAUUUAUGCUUAUAAUAUGUAAUUACAUGUAAUAUUGUAAAACACUUUCUACCAUUUCAUAAAAUUCUGUGUUGUUAUUUAGCCCAGAAUUCCCUUGCAAUCUUUUAAAAAUAGUAUCUAAUAGGGCUUUUAAUAUAAAUGUCGUAGUGAAACUGUUUUAUGUACUGUAACCCAAACAUUUCUACGUAGUAACACUGUUCCAUAUAGAAAACAAAUAUGAAAAAAUAUGGCCAUUGUCUUAUUUAUUUCUAAAGGUAAACCAAUCUUUGACAAUGCCAAUAGCAGUGUCAAUGUUCCUAAAUGUUGGCUGUAUCUAUCUACUUACUCAUUGUAUUCUUGAGGUUCCUUUCCUUUGGUUUCUAUGAUAUUCCACAUCCCUCUCUUUUCAUUCCAUUGUGUGAGUUCUCUCUGUGGAUCUUUUGUUAGCUCCUCUUAUUCCUUCUUGCCUAUCUGAGUUUCCUGAAAUUACCUUCAAAUCAUGUCUCGAAAGAUGUUCUAAAGAGACCUUUGAAUAAGAACAACAUUUGUCCCAUUAAUAAAUGGUGGGAGUUUCAUAUAUCUGUUUCUUUUUCUCUUCUUUCCUCUUUGCCUUGUCCAAAAGAGUGGGAACUGAGCAGUACAGUCAUAAAUUAAUUUUAAUAUAUUAACUUAGGCAUCAGUACACUGGCUAUUGUUCCUUAAUACAUUUAACACAUAGUCAUUGACUGCUGAUUAUGUGCCAAGGGCUGUGCUUGGCACUGGGGAUAAAGAA